Molecule: long non-coding RNA, 1850 nt
Organism: Lutra lutra (Eurasian river otter)
Lineage: Eukaryota; Metazoa; Chordata; Mammalia; Carnivora; Mustelidae
Exons: 4
Source: RefSeq, a predicted model, not a curated record
AGCAGUAGGGGCAAAACCAGGACUCCCUGGCACUUAUGUAUCAGAUCCUUUCUACCGCCCAUGCUGUGCCACUUAAAACAUCUUUCUUCUCUAUUCUAAACCUAGGAGAUGUGGGAGGACACGCUCACAGUCACAAGGCUAUUGUAAGUGGCAAAGAGGACUCCAGGACACAAGUUUUUCUCUUGUCACUUAGUUGAGGAUCUUUACACUGUGUCAUUUGGCCUCUAUCUGUCAGAAGAACAAAUGUGGAACACAUUCAUUGAACUUCUGUUCUCACAAGUCAAGUUUCAAAGAGCAUUUGCCAUAAUGAAUAAAAAUAUAUCUGUAUUUCUCCCGUGUGCUUCGAUUCAGGCAGUCCUGGGUUACAGUCCAGUAAGUCAAGUUCAGGGAACAUCAUGUUUAUCUGAGAGUGAAAAGAGAAGCCCGAACUAAAAAACACACAGACAAAAAAAGUAAGAAAUAAUUAUAAACGUGGAUAUAAUUAGUUGCAACUUUGAUUUUUUUUUUCUUACCUGGAGCAAUAAUUUGUAGCUUGUAACACGAAGCAUAUUUUUACAGUACAUUUUAACAUGCAUAUAAUGGUUUCAAGCUUCCGUUUUGAAUGAGACAUAUUUAUACUCCAAAUGCCACAUUUACUUAUGUAUUUCCAGUGUGUCUGAAUAUUUUGGGAAGGAAACAAAUAGGAUGAUUAUGUAAUUGCCACCAAUAUGUUUUGCGUUGCUUUGUUUCGCUUUUGAAAUAACAACCGUAUUACACCAUAAGUGGCCGAUUCAGUAAGGAAGGCAACAAAUUAUUUGUUGCAUGUGCUGUAUGUGCCAGGCACUGUCACAGGCUCUGCCCUCAGAAUUCUGCCUCCAUAAAUUUUGUGGACUAAGGAGGGGAGCUAGCCAAAGAAACAAGCAGUUGCAAUGAGUCUAUGAAGGCAGGUGAAAACACAGUUAACUUCAGGGCAUCUAGGCAGGAGCACCUGGUCCAAGCUCAGGAAACCAGAAAAGCCUUUGCAAAGGAGAUGACCACGAAGCUAAGUCCCAAAGAAGAAUGGAAUUUCAUCAGGCAAAUUCUGCGGGCUGGGACUUUCCAGACAGAAGGAUAGCUGCAUAUGCAAUGGCCCUGAUCCAAGAGAAAGAAUGAAAAAAAGGUUGGAGAUAGCUGACAGCUCUCUGUCUCUCCGUCUUUUAUUUUCCUGCCAAUUCUAAUUCCCCAGCUGAAGAACCUCAUCUACGACUGUGUUCUCUCGAUGUUGACAGAAACUCAAAAUUCAGGUAAUUCUGCUGCAAGUUUCAGUCCAUUCUUGAUAACUCAGAUUCCAAGGUUGCAAGCAGCUUCAGGUCUCCGGUAAAAGACUGGUCUCAUUAAAGGACUUGGAUCAGGCAGCAGAGUAUGGAUUCUAUUGCCAAUGCCUGGUGGAUAAGCCCAGAUCAGACCUUAAAGUGGGAGGGAGGGUAGCACUCUUCAGAAGGAUGGGGAAUAUAUUAGUGCAGAGCUUAAACUCACAAGUUGAAGAGGGAUUUGCCUGCCCCACCCACUGAGCCACCAGGACCCCAUUGUUAAUAUCUCCUUAUGCACCUGCAGAAGUACUUGUUUAAGGAAACAUGGUAAUACAUCUUUAUUAGAUAUUAAAAAUUUGAUCAUUGUGCCAAUGUUUUCCCAUCAACAGUGAAAGAGUUCCACUGCUUUGUUGUCCUUGACAACACUUGCUAUUUUGAAACUUAAAUUGUUGCUAAUUUGAUGGGUGUGAUGUAGUACUUCCUUGUGUCUUAACCAGUAUUUCCUUGAUUAGUGAACAGUAUUCUUUCAUUAUUUAUUGGCCUUUCAGAUUUACUCUUGUAAGAAAUCUUUUUUGUUUUUUC